AGUGAACGCUGGCGGUAGGCCUAACACAUGCAAGUCGAACGGCAGCACAGUAAGAGCUUGCUCCUACGGGUGGCGAGUGGCGGACGGGUGAGGAAUACAUCGGAAUCUACUUUUUCGUGGGGGAUAACGUAGGGAAACUUACGCUAAUACCUCAUACGUCCUACGGCUUAAAGCAGGAGAUCUUCGGACCUUGCGUGACAGUAUUAGCCGAUGUCGGAUUAGCUAGUUGGCGGGGUAAAGGCCCACCAAGGCGACGAUCCGUAGCUGGUCUGAGAGGAUGAUCGGCCACACUGGAACUGAGACACGGUCCAGACUCCUACGGGAGGCAGCAGUAGGGAAUAUUGGACAAUGGGCGCAAGCCUGAUCCAGCCAUACCGCGUGGGUGAAGAAGGUCUUCGGGUUGUAAAGCCCUUUUGUUGGGGAAGAAAAGCAGCAGAUUAAUCCCCCGCUGUUCUGACGGUACCCAAAGAGUAAGCACCGGCUAACUUCGUG
RNAcentral lists this ribosomal RNA (492 nucleotides) under uncultured bacterium. Its description in RNAcentral is "partial 16S ribosomal RNA". It matches the Rfam family "Bacterial small subunit ribosomal RNA", at positions 29 to 507 of the family's 1533-position model. The record is from RNAcentral.